UGGGGUAUAGCUUAAUGAUUGAGCGCUUGUCUAGCAUGCACAAGGCCCUGGCUUCAAGCCCCAGUACCACAC
RNAcentral lists this transfer RNA (72 nucleotides) under Heterocephalus glaber (naked mole-rat). It matches the Rfam family "tRNA". Rfam says of the family: Transfer RNA (tRNA) molecules are approximately 80 nucleotides in length. Their secondary structure includes four short double-helical elements and three loops (D, anti-codon, and T loops). Further hydrogen bonds mediate the characteristic L-shaped molecular structure. tRNAs have two regions of fundamental functional importance: the anti-codon, which is responsible for specific mRNA codon recognition, and the 3' end, to which the tRNAs corresponding amino acid is attached (by aminoacyl-tRNA synthetases). tRNAs cope with the degeneracy of the genetic code in two manners: having more than one tRNA (with a specific anti-codon) for a particular amino acid; and 'wobble' base-pairing, i.e. permitting non-standard base-pairing at the 3rd anti-codon position. The record is from Rfam by way of RNAcentral. Lineage: Eukaryota; Metazoa; Chordata; Mammalia; Rodentia; Bathyergidae.